AGUCGUAACAGUUCCGUAGGUGAACCUGCGGAAGGAUCAUUGUUGAU
Molecule: ribosomal RNA, 47 nt
Filed under: Piper imperiale
Lineage: Eukaryota; Viridiplantae; Streptophyta; Magnoliopsida; Piperales; Piperaceae
Description: partial 18S ribosomal RNA
Source: RNAcentral